RNAcentral lists this transfer RNA (79 nucleotides) under uncultured eukaryote. Its description in RNAcentral is "Selenocysteine transfer RNA". It matches the Rfam family "Selenocysteine transfer RNA". The record is from RNAcentral.
GACUGACCUUCGAUGGUUCGGAGUGCGGACUUCAAAUCCGUAGGGGCUUAGCGGCCCAGAGGUUCGAUUCCUCCUGACC